ACCAAGAAUUGAUGCAAAUAGUUAUAAGAUGGAUUUUGGAGUACUACAAAUGAUUCAGAAUUCUCAAUUCAGAGGUCAUCCUUCAGAAAAUCCUCAUACUCAUCUUAAGAAGUCUGUUAUGAUUUGUGACAUGCAAAAGCAACCAGGAGUAUCUGAUGAUGCAGCAAGGCUAAAAUUGUUUCCAUUCUCUUUGAAAGAUAGAGCA
Molecule: unclassified non-coding RNA, 205 nt
Filed under: Hevea brasiliensis (rubber tree)
Lineage: Eukaryota; Viridiplantae; Streptophyta; Magnoliopsida; Malpighiales; Euphorbiaceae
Source: RNAcentral